CAUUAUAUGUGUUUUGGGAUUGCUUUUCAAAUAAUUGACAUAAUAUGAUGCAUUAUAAUUUUGUUCGUCUCCUCUCUGAUUAUCUUCAGUCUCUCUUCCAGGUAGAGCAUUCCCAAGAAAGCCGAUUUUCUGCAAAUGAGCAAGAAAGUAUUGAAGGAAGAAACUAGGACUGUUUUCAAAAUAAUGUUUUCAAAAUAUAGCUUUGUUGGCUUAAUGGCUUCUCAUUGUCUUCCUGUGGUCCCCCUUACAGAAAAAUAUAGUUAAGGGAAAUAAAUAAACAAAUCAAAAUGAGCCUUGAGAAUGAGCUAUCAUAACUUAUUCUGCUUACGGAAAAAUAUUGAUAAUGGAAAUAUAAACCAAUUAAAAUGAGCCUUGAGAUUGAGCUAUCAUAACCUAUUCUGUUUACCCCGUCAAACCCAAUUCUAUUAUCUUAUGCACUGUUGCAGGUUUGUCUUAAUUUUUUUAUAUUAUAAUCCAUUGUAGAAUACAAUUUUAGUCAUUAGCCUAAUGUUUGACAAUUCUUUAUUAUCAGGAGUAAAAUAUGUAAUCAUAGCCAACAAAUACAGGAAGACCGAGUUCUGUUGCAUUCAGUCUAACGUUGUUGAUCCCUAUUUGAGAGCAUCAUCCAGUCUUGAAGGUGAGAA
Molecule: long non-coding RNA, 644 nt
Filed under: Trifolium pratense (red clover)
Lineage: Eukaryota; Viridiplantae; Streptophyta; Magnoliopsida; Fabales; Fabaceae
Description: long non-coding RNA (TPRA_LNC003772)
Source: RNAcentral